This 320-nucleotide long non-coding RNA is filed under the name Lathyrus oleraceus (garden pea). Its description in RNAcentral is "Pisum sativum (pea) long non-coding RNA (PSAT_LNC022062)". Lineage: Eukaryota; Viridiplantae; Streptophyta; Magnoliopsida; Fabales; Fabaceae. The record is from RNAcentral.
GGCUCAUACUGAACACUGUUGAAAGCUGAUAGUCUCUGCCUGAAUUUUUUCCAACACCACUAAAUUAUGUGCGUAGUUUUAUCUAUCUUCCUAAAUAAAUUUUGUCUAGCAUGUGAUUUGAAGCUGGUCUAGAAUUCUUGGUAAGAUUGUUUUCACAAGAAACCUAAGUGGCAAGGGAAAUUGUUUAUCAAAUAAUCAGGUCAUUGCUGUUUUAAAUUUCUCCUAUUCAUACUGUUAAGGGGGGUCUAUCUUUAGCAACUUUCUGACCUCAUGGGGAUUUUUCUCAUGGAAAACGGCUAAUUAGUGUUUUGAUGUCCAAU